AAGUUCAACCAGCUUGUACGUGCCAUUUUUCUGUAGAGAUUCCAUCUCUUCUUGCAUGGCUUUCAUCCACUGGUUCUUUUCUGGAUGGACAGCACUUCCUUAAGACUUUCUGGCUCCCCCUCAUCACUAAUGAGGACAUACUCUGUGGAAGGGUACCUGCAUGACUCUACCAUUGGCCUCUCUGAUCUCCUCAGAGGUUGAGGUUGUUCUUCAUCCUGAGUAGGGUGCUCCACUUCCUCGACACUUUCAUCAAGUUGCUCCCCUUGCUCAAUAACUUCACCAGGUUGCUCCACUUGCUCGGCAACCUCGUCAGUCGUACUUUCUGCACUUGUGGGAUUGUUAGAAGUAGAAGGAACAGUAACAAGGUUAGGAAUUAUACCAUUCUUCGUCUUUUCUGACAUAUCGGCAGCAAUUCCAACUUCACUUUCUCGGAAGGCUACAUCUCUACUUCUGAUGACCUUCUUCUUUACAGGAUCCCACAAUUUGUACCCGAACUCUUCAUCUCCAUAUCCGAUAAAUAGGAAGGGAACAUAUUUAUCAUCCAGCUUUGUUCUCUGCUCUUUAGGUACAUGUGCAAAAGCUCAGCAACUGAACACCUUCAGAUGCGAGUAGGACACCUCCUUAUUGGUCCAAACUCUCUCUGGGAUGUCAAAUGACAAUGGAACUGAUGGACUCCUAUUGAUUAGGUAACAUGUCGUUUGAACUGCUUCACCCCAGAAUGACUUAGGUAGUUUAGCCAUUCUGAGCAUGCUUCUCACCAUGGUACCUGCAUGACUCUACCCUUGGCCUCUCCGAUAUCCUCAGAGGUUGAGGUUGUUAUUCUUCCUAAGUGGGGUGCUCCACUUCCUCUACACCUUCAUCAAGUUGCUCCCCCUGCUCAAUAACCUCACCAGGUUGCUCCCCUUGCUCGGCAACUUUCAUCAAGUUGCUCCCCUUGCUCAAUAACUUCACCAGGUUGCUCCACUUGCUCGGCAACCUCGUCAGUCGUACUUUCUGCACUUGUGGGAUUGUUAGAAGUAGAAGGAACAGUAACAAGGUUAGGAAUUAUACCAUUCUUCGUCUUUUCUGACAUAUCGGCAGCA
This 1082-nucleotide long non-coding RNA is filed under the name Nicotiana benthamiana. Its description in RNAcentral is "long non-coding RNA (NBEN_LNC018379)". The record is from RNAcentral. Lineage: Eukaryota; Viridiplantae; Streptophyta; Magnoliopsida; Solanales; Solanaceae.